Molecule: ribosomal RNA, 440 nt
Filed under: uncultured Sphingopyxis sp.
Lineage: Bacteria; Pseudomonadati; Pseudomonadota; Alphaproteobacteria; Sphingomonadales; Sphingopyxidaceae
Description: bacterial SSU rRNA
Rfam family: Bacterial small subunit ribosomal RNA
Source: RNAcentral
CCUACGGGGGGCUGCAGUGGGGAAUAUUGGACAAUGGGCGAAAGCCUGAUCCAGCAAUGCCGCGUGAGUGAUGAAGGCCCUAGGGUUGUAAAGCUCUUUUACCCGGGAUGAUAAUGACAGUACCGGGAGAAUAAGCUCCGGCUAACUUCGUGCCAGCAGCCGCGGUAAUACGAGGGGAGCUAGCGUUGUUCGGAAUUACUGGGCGUAAAGCGCGCGUAGGCGGUUUUUUAAGUCAGAGGUGAAAGCCCGGGGCUCAACCCCGGAAUUGCCUUUGAAACUGGAAAACUAGAAUCUUGGAGAGGUCAGUGGAAUUCCGAGUGUAGAGGUGAAAUUCGUAGAUAUUCGGAAGAACACCAGUGGCGAAGGCGACUGACUGGACAAGUAUUGACGCUGAGGUGCGAAAGCGUGGGGAGCAAACAGGAUUAGAUACCCGAGUAGUC